AGUCUUGGAUACAGCGGGGUCUGAGUUUAGACCCAACAUUUUUUGGUCCUUCGGAGCCGGAGCCUAACACAUUGCAUCCACCGAGGAGAGGGAGAGGACGCCACCGCAACGUCUGGGAUGAUUGACGUAAAGCCCUGGUGUUUUUGGCUUGCCACCAGGCCGGGAAGUUUGCGCCUGACCUCCCCUCGGGAUGGAUGACGAUUGACGGGAUCCAGAGACUCUUCCCAUGAACGUAAACAAACAAUGUCGUGAGGUGCCAUGAUGAGAAGGAGAGACUGAGAGGAUCGUCCACAAGAUGGAAGCUGAGGCCUGGAGGGAGUCUUCAGGAGGAUCGGAGAUCACCUUCAGCACAGAGAGCUGUGCUACUGGGCUUCCAAAGGAUUGUCACAAGGAGACUUUCAGCGUUGGAAAAUGGAACCUGAGGGAGCGUGCCAAGCUCCAAAAAGUGACAGCGCAGAGGAGGUCCAGCGAUGGACUUGUGGUUCUGUGAACAGCACAAAUGCCAGGUGACUGUAAAAUAACUAACAGCACUUUUUCCACAAGUGAAGCCAGUAACUUACUAUCCUAAAAGAUUAGCUCUAGUUGCUCGUGCUUUACCUCCAUGCGUGAGAUCAGUAUGUGCAGCAGCUUAAGCUGUACAAUGUUUCAAUAGUUUAUUUCACCUUUUGCAAUUGUUAGUUCCACACGAGGUAGAUGUCUACUACUGCAGACUAAACUUACAUUUCUGUCACCUACAAGACACUUGUCUUUAAUGUUACUGUUACUCUCACAACCACACAUACUACCAUAAAGUGGUGCAGAAUUCUGAAUCUGUCCAACCCUUUUUGCCAACGGAGGAGGGCACUUCUCAUGAGUGUAGAGAGCGCGAGGAGAAGACGUGUAAGCUGAGGGAUGACUUAAUAGAUGUGCCACUCGUUGAGGGAAAGGUUUGGUUUGUUGAUGAUUUGAGUUUUACAACAGCAGAGGGACAGACUAGAACACGUUUUACUGUAGCUGACAGUGAGAGAGAGUUAUCUAUGUAGGACAACUAGCAUGUUUCAUAUUUGCUUGAGCAGCAGAGAUGCUAGCUUUAACGGAAGCGUGUAAAGCUGUAGAGAGACAAUAUACACUGAUAGGUAGUAUACAUUUGCUACUGUACAUUUCUUUGUAGUGCAGUGAGUGAGACGAGGUGUGACAACCUCUACAGGGAAACCUGCAGAACACACCAAACUCUUGCAAAUUCUGCUGGAUGCAGCGUUAUUAACCAGUGGAAUUGCCGUUUGUAAAUGUGCAGCACACAUGUGAGGGAAAGAUCCGGUUGCAUUAGGGGAAGUUUUUGCAGAUAAGAUCGCAAAAGAGGCAGCUUUAGUUAAACAUGGUGUUAACCUUUUAUCAGUACAGCAUUAGCAGACAUGCAGGCCCACUCACCUACUGCAGGACAAUAGUUGUGACUUACAGAGGGAGCAAGCUUGCAGGAUGAUUUUUUUAUCUGUGUGAUAAACCAGUACUGCCUAAUAAUUUGUAUAAGACUGCUGCUAUUUUGAGCCAUUGGCUAUGCCAUGUCUCAAACAGGAGGGAGAUGAGCAGUCGUUAUACUCACUCUAGGAUUAUUAAAUACUUUAAAAAAAAAACUUUUGCAGACAGUAAAGUUAAGAUUUAGGAAGACAGGCAGGACAUGGUUAGACUGUAUAGAAUAAGUACAUGAGGAUUACUCCAACAGAGAAUGGUCUGACUCUUUGAGAUUACACAUGUUAGAGCAUUUAGAGUUCCAGUCUUCUGUAGUGAUGAUAGAAAAGCAGAAGAGAGAGCAUAUUAGCAGAUUAGAUGCUUGAAAAUGUUUAAAAGUAAAGUAGUCAUGAGAACAAAUGAUCUGCCAGAUGAUUCUGUUUCUUCGCAGGAGCAGAGCCUGAAGUCUGGAGAUUGGAUGAUGAUAAGGCCAUGGAGAGGAAGUGCUGGUCCAGUCCAUGGUGGGAAGGUCCAUAUCGGAUGCUGCUGACGACGACCACAGCAGUGAAGAUUGCUGGAAGGAACACUUGGAUACAUCAAGCGCACUGCAAGAAGGUGACACACAUCCAGGCCAGCUCGGAGUAAGUGGCAGGAAGACCGGGAACAAAGGGGGGGGAAAGCCUCCAGGGCCCCUCGUCUCAAUCCGGUGAAGAAACCAACUGAGCCACAGGUACUCAUCAGAAUGGCUGGGAAUGUGCUGUGCAUCUUCUUGUGCCUGUGGACCCUGAGUGGGAUGACAGGAGCGCAUUGGGACAGAGCAAAUCACACCCAGUACCCGCAUGGGUUUUCAACCAACUACUGGUGGCAGUUUAAGAACACAACCGGAUAGCAUCACUUGGAGCGAGACAGUUUGUUUGGUUGCUUUAGCAACACAUCCAGGAACACUGCCAACUUUUCAACUGCUCUGAACCUGAAUGGAAGGUUGAUUCACCAGUAGCUGGGAAGGUGAACUGCUCUGGUGAGACAGACCUGCUCGUCUGACUCAAAGAAUAUGACUUGUUGCAGGACAUUAUACAGUUAAACGAACUGGAAACAGGCCAAUUGCCUAUGUGUACGAAGGACAAUGGAUUAGCCCAAGUUGGAGAUUAACCAUGGAACAUGGUAACAUCACUUAUUCUUUUGUCUUUUGCAAGAAGGAUGUAAACAGAGAAGCCUUUUGUCUACAUUUACAUCAUGAACACUUGAGGUUUUGAGCCAAGAAGAUCAAAACAGCUUGAUCCAAUUUCCUUUACAAAGCUUUUUCUGUGGUGACAACAGGACAGGAGAAGAGUUGUAAAUGCAGAUAAUUCACCAGUUGACUCUAACCCCCACAGGAUGCCUACAGUGAGAAGAUUUGGGGGGUUGAUAGGAGUCAUAAAGAAGGGUGUUGACCAGGCUGCAGCUUUGAAGUUAGCUGAGAGCCAUAUGGACAAACAAUAAAGUCAACUGAUGCGUUUAAAUACCUAUGUCUGUAUACAGUUGGAUUGUAGAGACAUAUGAUUUUUGAGAAUGAUGAUUCUUCUUGUUUGACCUUUGACAUUCAGUUGUGUACUUGAAGAAAUACAUAAUGAAUUGCACGACAGGAGUAGAUCCGCCACAAGGCUGGAUAGCUUGGUUACUGUCUGGUCCUUGGUGGCAUCUUCUUUUGAAAAUAUUAAUUCCUGUUUUUGAACUGUUGAUACUGAUUUGCUUAUGUAUAGGAUGUAGUUUACUGUGCAUGAAUGAAAUCUACACUGACACUGUCUAAACAAAGGGUGCAUAAGUUGAAAUUUAAGAACAAUGACAAAAAGGAGGGAAAUGUUAAGUCUAAUUGUUGAAUGUUGCCAUUGUGUUUCUUAAAUUUGUACAGUCUUAGUUUAAGCAGUAGGAUCAAAGCCAUUCCUUUGAUCCUGACCACCUCUCCAGCCACUCUGUGCUGGGGGAGGUUUUAUUGUAGAUACAUCCUAACUUGAAGAUCUGUUUGAUGUUUGGUAGAGCUUCCUACCCUUUGUAUGGUUUCACUGUGUUAUCUUUGGUAAACCAUACAUUGGGUGUGGGGGAAGACUACCCUCUUUAUGACCAAGGAUGUUGUUCCUGCUUUUAGGUUUUAUGACCCUUUGAUCAAACACACACACACACACACACACACACACACACACACACACACACACACACACACACACACACACACACACACACACACACAUACAUUCUCACAUAACACCCACACACACACACUUACAUACAGUGCCUUGUCUUUGUAACCAAAGGGGGGUUGCAAGGGGAGGUGUUUUGUAAACUAUUGUUUGAAGUUUGUCAAUAAAAGGCAGCGAGAGGAGGCCAUCAUCGGGGUUCAUUGUCGUGCUGGACACAGAUGAGGGGGCCUCCCUUGCGCAAGAAAUCGAUCGAACACUGUUGCCUUGUUUUUCUUUCAUGGGAAUAAGUCUUGGAUACAGCGGGGUCUGAGUUUAGACCCAACAAAAGCUUACCACAAAACGGAGAAGUUAUGACAAAUCAGACUAUAAGGCAAAAAGAAAGUGCAGCUUUAUGGUUUCAUGGACAAAAGAAUUUCUGUGGCUGCGAUAUGAUGAGCUAAAUAACCAGGGCUGCACAUAAGUGGUCCGCAGGUGCGCAUUCGCUGUCAAAAUAAAAAACACGCACAAGGGUUAGGGUUAAAUUUAAAAACUGUACUUUUGAGUUAAAAUAUAUAUUUAUAAUUUUAAUAAAUGACAAAUUAAAAAGGCAU
Long non-coding RNA from Astatotilapia calliptera (eastern happy), 4189 nucleotides. The record is from Ensembl. Lineage: Eukaryota; Metazoa; Chordata; Actinopteri; Cichliformes; Cichlidae.